This 253-nucleotide ribosomal RNA is filed under the name uncultured bacterium. RNAcentral describes it as "partial 16S ribosomal RNA". It matches the Rfam family "Bacterial small subunit ribosomal RNA", at positions 524 to 776 of the family's 1533-position model. The record is from RNAcentral.
UACGUAGGGGGCAAGCGUUGUCCGGAUUUAUUGGGCGUAAAGAGCGUGUAGGCGGCUGGGUAGGUCCGUUGUGAAAACUCGAGGCUCAACCUCGAGACGCCGAUGGAAACCCUCCAGCUAGAGUCCGGAAGAGGAGAGUGGAAUUCCUGGUGUAGCGGUGAAAUGCGUAGAUAUCAGGAGGAACACCGGUGGUGUAGACGGCUAUCUGGACCGUAACUGACGCUGAGGCACGAAAGCGUGGGUAGCAAACAGG